GAAGAAUCAUAAGGCGAUAAGAACAGAUUCCAUGCUCCAGUCACUGUGCCAGUUGCUGCAUUUGGGAAAUAGACAAGACUAGCCGCUAAGCAUAUAAGUGAGAAAAAUCAAAGGAUAACCCUUAAAGUGACUGAUUUCCCACUCACCACUGCCAAGCAACCCUCGAAGUAGUCAGAAAUGAGGCUACCAGAGAAAAAGAGCCAAAGACAUAAAGUUAUACAUCUACUUGAAUGUAAACAGAAAAUUGAAAGUUAGUCUGCAUUCCCUGGUCACAUCCUACCCAACAAAGCAGUUUCACUGCAGCAUAGAAUCCCCUGGUGCAUAAUUGAGACCUAACUUCAGACUUCUAAACAGGGUAAUGUCAACUCCCUCCUCCAGCUGUUCCAGGCAGUUAUCUUUACCAGCUGUUUACCAUCGUCAACAAUGACAUACUUCUGCAUGUCUGAAAUAUGUGAAACUUCAAAACGGCCCUUUCAUGUUUCUACCCAAGAUUAUCCCUUAACUCCAAGAGAAGAGUGACACAAUCAGUCUUUGUCACCAUCAUAUGCCUGGCUCCUAGAAGACUGAAAGAUGAUAAUGAGUAUCUGUUGAAUGAAUGCCUGUAACCCUGAAGGUCACCAUUAAAGGACAACAGACAACUUGUCCUCAAACAUAAGGAAGUGCAACUAAAGAGACUAUCAAAAAAAAAAAAAAAGAAACCUCAGCCCUUUCACCCUCCCUUUCAACCCAAAGUCAGCAAAUACAGUGUUCAUUAAGUUGUGAGUGAAAUUUCAAAAUUGUCAGCAACAAAAAUAUUUUGUGUACCUACCACAUUAAAACACACUUCUAGGUGCCAGGGGAAAUAAAACUUCUAUAUGUUAAAGUUCUGACUCCUCAGAAGCUCACAGUACAGACAUAAAAUUCCAAUACAAAGCAGGCUUUGCAAAUAAUGGAAUGGAAACACAAAGUUUUG
RNAcentral lists this long non-coding RNA (952 nucleotides) under Homo sapiens (human). Its description in RNAcentral is "HSALNT0339176". Lineage: Eukaryota; Metazoa; Chordata; Mammalia; Primates; Hominidae. The record is from RNAcentral.